CAGUAGCCACGGUAAUACAGAGGGUGCGAGCGUUAAUCGGAUUUACUGGGCGUAAAGCGUGUGUAGGUUGUUGUUCAAGUCAGUUGUGAAAUCCCUGGACUCAACCUGGGAACUGCUUCUGAGACUGAACGACUAGAGUACGGUAGAGGGUGGUGGAAUUUCCGGUGUAGCGGUGAAAUGCGUAGAUAUCGGAAGGAACAUCAAUGGCGAAGGCAGCCACCUGGGCCUGUACUGACACUGAGACACGAAAGCGUGGGGAUCAAACAGGAUUAGAUACCCCCGUAGUCCCUGUCUCUUAUAC
This 301-nucleotide ribosomal RNA is filed under the name uncultured bacterium. RNAcentral describes it as "partial 16S ribosomal RNA". It matches the Rfam family "Bacterial small subunit ribosomal RNA", at positions 509 to 807 of the family's 1533-position model. The record is from RNAcentral.